Long non-coding RNA from Tachyglossus aculeatus (Australian echidna), 675 nucleotides. RefSeq lists it as uncharacterized. The transcript has 4 exons. NCBI's taxonomy places the organism in Eukaryota, Metazoa, Chordata, Mammalia, Monotremata, Tachyglossidae. The record is from RefSeq and is a predicted model, not a curated record.
CAUGUGAUUAUUAGGCCAGAAAAUCAUCAUUUAAGAAUUUUUCAGUCCCCAUUUGAAACUCAGGUCUCAUCAGAGAUCUGGGCAGAACAAGUCUAGGAAUCCAGCUCAGAAAACUGUGGGAGAGGCUAAUCCCCAUCCCCCGACCUGGUGGGGACACCUGCUCAUGUGGACACAGUGUUUUACAUACACAGAGACAGGCCGGCAGGGACAGAGGCAGAGUGAUCCAUCUGUUCUUCUUCUCUAACCCACUGCCAGGUCUGCCCCCAAAGGUGGCAUGAACCAGGACCACAGCAGCCAGUGGGAAUGCCAACUGGGAUGCAGCUGGAACUGGAGCGAGAAUUUGAGGUUUUUCCUGGGACGUUGACAACCAGCGAAAGAAAAGUGAUAUUAGAAGCAACUGCGGAGAGAAGAAAAUCAAAUGGAAGCUUCAUGGAUGCUCCCAAGUCUAUGAAACACUUCACGUUGGUAUCUUCCAAGUAGUCAAAAGCAGCUGAUUAGGUCAUUUAGCCUUUGGAAGCGAUAUUACUGGAAACAGGAUGGAACUGAAUUCACAAUACCGUCCAGUCUGGGCCAAGAGGCAAGAAUGUGAAUGAUCCAUAAUUCAUUUGUCCAUUCUUGUUCCUCUGUCCUUGCUAGUGACCACCAUAGUUUUAUCGUCUAGACUGCAAGACUCCA